GGGAGCGCAGGCGGGCGAUCAAGUUGGAAGUGAAAUCCAUGGGCUCAACCCAUGAACUGCUUUCAAAACUGGUCGUCUUGAGUAGUGCAGAGGUAGGCGGAAUUCCCGGUGUAGCGGUGGAAUGCGUAGAUAUCGGGAGGAACACCAGUGGCGAAGGCGGCCUACUGGGCACCAACUGACGCUGAGGCUCGAAAGUGUGGGUAGCAAACAGGAUUAGAUACCCUGGUAGUCCACACCGUAAACGAUGAUUACUAGGUGUUGGGAGAUUGACCCUCUCAGUGCCGCAGUUAACACAAUAAGUAAUCCACCUGGGGAGUACGACCGCAAGGUUGAAACUCAAAGGAAUUGACGGGGGCCCGCACAAGCAGUGGAGUAUGUGGUUUAAUUCGACGCAACGCGAAGAACCUUACCAAGUCUUGACAUCCUCUGACGAACGUAGAAAUACGUUUUCUCUUCGGAGCAGAGAGACAGGUGGUGCAUGGUUGUCGUCAGCUCGUGUCGUGAGAUGUUGGGUUAAGUCCCGCAACGAGCGCAACCCUUAUGGUCAGUUACUACGCAAGAGGACUCUGGCCAGACUGCCGUUGACAAAACGGAGGAAGGUGGGGAUGACGUCAAAUCAUCAUGCCCUUUAUGACUUGGGCUACACACGUACUACAAUGGCGUUAAACAAAGAGAAGCAAGACCGCGAGGUGGAGCAAAACUCAGAAACAACGUCCCAGUUCGGACUGCAGGCUGCAACUCGCCUGCACGAAGUCGGAAUUGC
Molecule: ribosomal RNA, 763 nt
Filed under: uncultured bacterium
Lineage: Bacteria
Description: bacterial SSU rRNA
Rfam family: Bacterial small subunit ribosomal RNA
Source: RNAcentral